AGGCAGUGUAACGUUAGCUGGUUGUGGUUGUAUAUGUUACCAGUUAACUUGCUGCUGCCCUC
RNAcentral lists this microRNA precursor (62 nucleotides) under Callorhinchus milii (elephant shark). RNAcentral's name for it is "Cmi-Mir-34-P3c_pre stem-loop". Lineage: Eukaryota; Metazoa; Chordata; Chondrichthyes; Chimaeriformes; Callorhinchidae. The record is from RNAcentral.